AGCCUCAUUCUUAAUGAGAAGGGCACUGUUGGUCAUAUUGUCCAGAAAUUGUUCAUGGGACUAAAUUGAGACACAAGUUCUGCUUACAUCACAGUAAAUUUAUUGAAAUGGUGAUAAUGAGACUGUUAACCUUU
This is a small nucleolar RNA of Balaenoptera musculus (blue whale), 134 nucleotides long. Lineage: Eukaryota; Metazoa; Chordata; Mammalia; Artiodactyla; Balaenopteridae. The record is from Ensembl.